GAUGAACGCUGGCGGCGUGCCUAAUACAUGCAAGUCGAGCGAACAGGCGAGGAGCUUGCUCCUCUGACGUUAGCGGCGGACGGGUGAGUAACACGUGGAUAACCUACCUAUAAGACUGGGAUAACUUCGGGAAACCGGAGCUAAUACCGGAUAAUAUAUUGAACCGCAUGGUUCAAUAGUGAAAGACGGUUUUGCUGUCACUUAUAGAUGGAUCCGCGCCGCAUUAGCUAGUUGGUAAGGUAACGGCUUACCAAGGCAACGAUGCGUAGCCGACCUGAGAGGGGGAUCGGCCACAAUGGAACUGAGACACGGUCCAGACGCCUACGGGAGGCAGCAGUAGGGAAUCUUACGCAAUGGGCGAAAGCAUGACGGAGCAACGCCGCGUGAGUGAUGAAGGUCUUCGGAUCGUAAAACUCUGUUAUUAGGGAAGAACAAAUGUGUAAGUAACUAUGCACGUCUUGACGGUACCUAAUCAGAAAGCCACGGCUAACUACGUG
RNAcentral lists this ribosomal RNA (497 nucleotides) under uncultured bacterium. RNAcentral's name for it is "partial 16S ribosomal RNA". It matches the Rfam family "Bacterial small subunit ribosomal RNA", at positions 28 to 507 of the family's 1533-position model. The record is from RNAcentral.